GCUACUAUUAUAUGUUGAAGAGAAAUGAUGCAUUUACCAAAAAUAUGACUCAGAGACACAAAAUUCACUACCUCUACUAGAUCUUCCAUCUCAAGAAUAAGCCUGAUUACAUUGACCUGGUCCUUGAUAACUCCUCACUGAACUGAGAAAGCCCUCAACCAGGUAUCUGCCCAGUCUUCUUUCUCUUUUCAGUCCAGCUCUCUGAUCAAAAUCAAGUUCAGCAUCUGUGAAAUUGACCUCAAGUGUGAAAUCAUUUUUUAAUGAUAAAGUGCCAAAAGUGUUCUCAACAAUAGAUGGUGAGUGGUUGCUGCUCAGCUGGCAGGUGACUGUGUUUUGAAAGCUUUGGAAGACUGUUUCCAGCUGAUUGGCUAUUUUCACCAUUGGCUUGCUGACUUGCUCCUCCCAAUCUCAGAAACCCAGGUCAGUGUGCAUGUGAGAGAGGAAAAUCUUCCUUUAUCUGAGGAAGAGGCCAAGACCACCAGCAUCAGGUGGGUACCAGUCACCUUUUCUCUGAGAUGUCUCUUCACCUUCUCUGGAGUUCCAAGAAGACCUAACAUCAAAACAUCUGAUGAGGUUAGCCCUGUUCAGACUGAAGAAGACAUCAUUUUCAGCAGGUAAGAGACAUACCUGCCAGAGGAAUCCUGCAGGAAGGGUAUAAAAAGGAUAAAAUUCCAUGCUGAGCAGUGUCCUACAGCCUAGGGACUCUCAACCCCAGCUGAGCAUCAGAACCACCUGGAGAGCUUUGUCAAAAUAUUGAGACUGCAGCCAGCCUGCAACUCAGUCUGAAAAGGACCAGACAGCUAUUGUAGCUGUUGUUAUUCCCAAGUUCUACAAAUGUGUGGAAUUGCACAGCCAGAGUUGAGACCGCUAUAGUUACUUCCAGCACAUCAUUUUACGUAAUGUACAUAAUAAUCUGCUGAUGUAUUCCCUGUUGGAAUAAUGAGAAAACAGGCUCAGAGGGCUCCAGACUGUCACUGUGUUAACAGAUAGCAAGUGGUAGAACUGGGAUUGUUACCCAAAUCUGCUUUGUCCACCUAUGUCAAAGGAUGAAAUGUGUUAAGGGGUAUGUGAGCACAGGGUCUAUAUUUGUGUGUUAAAGGGAGACAACACUAAGUUAAGAGUCCUCUACUUCACUUUUCCUGGCUUUGGAAUCCAGCUCUGAGGGUAUUUUUUUUCUCCCUUUGUCAAUUAAAUAGCCGAGAGAAAAACAAGGUAAAUUUCUCCCUUUCAACCUAAUUCAGGUUGAAUGAGAAUAGGAACAGAACUGAUUUUAUGUCAUAGAACCAAUAUAUGAUUGUGUUUUUAAAUAUUUAGGAAUAACACUUUUCCCUCUUUUUCACUGACAUUUAGGUAAGAAUUCAUUAAAGGAAGUUGAGAAGAAAAAAAAACUAGGAACUAACAGUCAAUCAGAAGUUACAACUCAGAUUAUGUAUGAACUUGACUAACAUAAGAUCAACUAAUUCAGCUUUAUUAUCAUUCUUGACUAGUUAAUCCUAGUUAACUUAGUCACUAAAGUAGAUAAGUCUUAUAAAUGGAUUCAGAAAAUUAUUUUUUUAAUUUCAUUAGUGGGUGAAAUCAUUAAUUUAUAUCAAUAGGAUAAUAAGCCUCUUUUAAUUUAUCUGCAAAGAAAUAAAUUAAAUUAAUAAACUGAGUGUUCCCA
Vulpes vulpes (red fox) is the source of this 1660-nucleotide long non-coding RNA. NCBI's taxonomy places the organism in Eukaryota, Metazoa, Chordata, Mammalia, Carnivora, Canidae. The record is from Ensembl.